RNAcentral lists this ribosomal RNA (253 nucleotides) under uncultured bacterium. RNAcentral's name for it is "partial 16S ribosomal RNA". It matches the Rfam family "Bacterial small subunit ribosomal RNA", at positions 524 to 776 of the family's 1533-position model. The record is from RNAcentral.
UACAGAGGUCUCAAGCGUUGUUCGGAUUCAUUGGGCGUAAAGGGUGCGUAGGUGGCGGGGUAAGUCAGGUGUGAAAUCUCGGGGCUCAACCCAGAAACUGCACUUGAUACUGCCUUGCUGGAGUACUGGAGAGGAGAUUGGAAUUUACGGUGUAGCAGUGAAAUGCGUAGAUAUCGUAAGGAAGACCAGUGGCGAAGGCGAAUCUCUGGACAGUUACUGACACUGAGGCACGAAGGCCAGGGGAGCAAACGGG